GUGCUGGAUUCCGCAGCACAUAUACUAAAAUUGGAAUGAUACAGGGAAGAUUAGCGUGGCCUCUGCGCAAGAAUGACAUGCAAGUUCAUAAAAAAAUAAUAAGGAACAUAU
Talpa occidentalis (Iberian mole) is the source of this 111-nucleotide small nuclear RNA. The record is from RefSeq and is a predicted model, not a curated record. Lineage: Eukaryota; Metazoa; Chordata; Mammalia; Eulipotyphla; Talpidae.